RNAcentral lists this small RNA (2252 nucleotides) under Drosophila pseudoobscura pseudoobscura. RNAcentral describes it as "GA32233". Lineage: Eukaryota; Metazoa; Arthropoda; Insecta; Diptera; Drosophilidae. The record is from RNAcentral.
GAUGAGGCGGUUCUUGUUGAUUCCGUGCAGAUUUCAAGCUAAAUUAAUUAUGUGAUUUUUUGUGCGCAGCGCUGCAGACCGAAAAUCCCAAUGGACAGGCACUCACCAGAGAUGGAGAUGGAAAUGGAGAUGGAGGCCAAAACCUAACCCUGAAAAUCAAUAAAAUGGUGCUAAAACCUAUGAACGACUUUUUAACUGAAUAUUUGAAAGAUCAUUGAACAGAACACCCAUCACUGGGUUCAAAAUUGAGUCCUUCAAACACAGACGCUGGGAAUGGAAUCAAAAUGGAAAUUUACCAAUUUUUGGGGACAUCAGGCAAAAAAAAGAAGAAAAACCCCGGGAAAAACUAAUCUGCAACUGGGGAAACUUUGCGGGCCACUUGGUAUGUUAAAUCUGCGUGAAUUUAUCAACUUUUCUAAUUAACCAGCACUGGAGGAGCACUGGAGGAGCACUCCACACCGGAGUACUUCCCCGUCUGGUCCUAAAAUCUGUUUACAUUUUGCCACAUGAGAAAUUGUUGGCCAUGGAGGCCCCGGGCGGGGCAGAGUCGGACAUAACUUGUUAACGGUUUCACUUAUGUAAGUUCAUUAGCUGAAGGAGGUGGAGGAGGUGGAGGAGGAGGAAGUGGAGGAGGAGCAGGAGUAGCUAGCUGGCAUCUGGCAAUCAAUCAAAUCAGCAUAUGACCAACGUUCUGUUGGAUUUUGCGGCUCGCCUCUCGAGUGGAAAUAAAGAGAAAAUUAGAAUGCACACACAGUGCACCUGAUGGGUUGGUCGAUUGGCUGGUUGCACAGAGGUGUGUUGCAUGAGCAGAUGGCCAACCGCAGGUCGGUUGCUUGGACAAUGCCCGAGGGCUGAGCGCUGUCACGUGAGCGCCCGAGCAGGGCAAUCAACGAAUCAGGCAACCAAUCAAGCGGCGUGUGACAUGCAACUGAAGCGUGUACGUGCCCCAACUCCCCCCCGAUGCACAGUGGUGCAUUCCACGAAGAUUCUGCGUGGACUAUCUUCCACACAAGAACCCACAAUCAAAGACUGAUUAUUCCACGGUGCAGCAAUAUAAUGAAGAAUCGAAGUGGGGCUCUCUUUUCCCACAGCUGGGACACAGCUCGGUCUCUCUCUCUCUCGCUCGCUCUCUCUCUCUGGCACUGCAUUAUGGACUCUGUGAACGUGCGUCUGUCAAGUUGCCAGCUAGCAGGUCCUCCCUGGCUUACAGACCAGUCCUUGCCGGUCCAUGCCAUUCCGUCUAUCCAGCAGUUUCGCUUGGUUUCGCAUGUCAGCACUCCUGGCCUGCCCCCCUGCCUCACCGCCUCCCCGCCUGCCCCCUCCUGUCGGUUGUCCGUUUAGUGCUUGCGACACGUCAAUGCUUUCAUCAUUUAAUUAACUGUUUCGUGUGGCUAAAUGGCCAGGUGAAGUGGGCAAGGAAGGCUGCCUGCCCCUGCCCCUGCCCCUGGACUACGUGCCGGCAAGAUGCAGGAGCCAGCAGGGGGUCCUUGGUGGCACACUUUGCAUGUCAAAUUUGAUUGAUCGCUCAUCUGUGUGGGAGAGCGGCAGAGCGGCAGAGCGCCAGAGAGGGGCAGUUAAACGGGAAAUUUAACUGUCAGUUUUGCUCAGUCGUCCAAACAAAGGAUGCUCCAUCGAUGGAUGCUAGUUGGGCUUUCUUCCAAGGACUAAAAGUAUAUCUUUUGGGGGAUUGUUUACUGGUUUAAAUCUCUACCCAAAGACCUCCUUCAGAUAUCCUCUUAAACUUUUUUCCCAAAGCCCAAAAACUCCGAGAGAGAGAAAACCACUAAAAGCAAACCAGCAGACUAUCAAAUUAGUUGGAUAAACUUGUUUAGCAAAUAAUUUAUGGUUUCCGAACAAGUCUGAACAACAAAAGGAGGCGGUCUGUGCCGUGUCCUUCCUGCCAGGCUCCUCCCUUACCUCUGGCCAUAUCCGUAUCUUCUUUUGUACGGAUUGAAAAGAAAUCCAAAGCUGAUUUAUGUUUUUAUUUUGUGCAUUAUUUGGGAGUUUAUAUUUAAAACAUUAGACAACGUCAACGUCCACAGAGACAGGGACACUGAAGAGAUAAAAACAGCUGAAAGCAGCACAAAUAAAACUGCAACUGCAGCAACAAAAAUCCAAAUAAAUGUAGGUGGAAAAGCACUGCAAAACAGGGGGGGUGGAGGUAUGGGGUUUCAUAGAUAAAGCGUCGGGCAGCAAAGGGCAGACAGACAAAUAAAGCGGAAAUGUUAACAUCAACGAAUGGCGCCGGCAAC